RNAcentral lists this ribosomal RNA (433 nucleotides) under uncultured bacterium. Its description in RNAcentral is "partial 16S ribosomal RNA". It matches the Rfam family "Bacterial small subunit ribosomal RNA", at positions 29 to 507 of the family's 1533-position model. The record is from RNAcentral.
AACGAACGCUGGCGGCAUGCCUAACACAUGCAAGUCGAACGAGACCUUCGGGUCUAGUAGCGCACGGGUGCGUAACGCGUGGGAACCUGCCUUUAAGUUCGGAAUAACUCAGAGAAAUUUGAGCUAAUACCGGAUGAUGUCUUCGGACCAAAGAUUUAUCGCCUUUAGAUGGGCCCGCGUUGGAUUAGCUAGUUGGUGGGGUAAAGGCCUACCAAGGCGACGAUCCAUAGCUGGUCUGAGAGGAUGAUCAGCCACACUGGGACUGAGACACGGCCCAGACUCCUACGGGAGGCAGCAGUGGGGAAUAUUGGACAAUGGGCGAAAGCCUGAUCCAGCAAUGCCGCGUGAGUGAUGAAGGCCUUAGGGUUGUAAAGCUCUUUUACCCGAGAUGAUAAUGACAGUAUCGGGAGAAUAAGCUCCGGCUAACUCCGUG